RNAcentral lists this ribosomal RNA (503 nucleotides) under uncultured bacterium. RNAcentral describes it as "partial 16S ribosomal RNA". It matches the Rfam family "Bacterial small subunit ribosomal RNA", at positions 30 to 523 of the family's 1533-position model. The record is from RNAcentral.
AUUGAACGCUGGCGGCAUGCCUAACACAUGCAAGUCGAACGCGAAAGAGGGGCAACUCUUGAGUAGAGUGGCGGACGGGUGAGUAAUACGUAGGAAUCUGCCCUAGAGUGGGGGAUAAACUGUCGAAAGACGGGCUAAUACCGCAUAAUCUCUAAGGAGCAAAGGUGUCCCAUCGCAAUAUGGGGUUCCGCUUUAGGAUGAGCCUACGUCGGAUUAGCUAGUUGGUAGGGUAAUGGCCUACCAAGGCGACGAUCCGUAGCUGGUCUGAGAGGACGAUCAGCCACACUUGAACUGCGACACGGUCCAAACUCCUACGGGAGUCAGCAGUAGGGAAUAUUGAACAAUGGGGGAAACCCUGAUCCAGCAAUGCCGCGUGUGCGAUGAAGGCCUGCGGGUUGUAAAGCACUUUCGGUGGGGAAGAAAUACGCAAAGAUAAUACCUUUGAGGGUUGACGUUACCCACAGAAGAAGCACCGGCAAACUCUGUGCCAGCCGCCGCCGUAA